UACGUAGGGGGCAAGCGUUGUCCGGAAUCAUUGGGCGUAAAGCGCACGUAGGCGGAUUGCUAAGUCAGGGGUGAAAUCCUGGAGCUCAACUCCAGAACUGCCUUUGAUACUGGCGACCUUGAGUCCGGGAGAGGUGAGUGGAACUGCGAGUGUAGAGGUGAAAUUCGUAGAUAUUCGGAAGAACACCAGUGGCGAAGGCGACACACUGGCUCACUACUGACGCUGAGGCGCGAAAGCGUGGGGAGCAAACAGG
This 253-nucleotide ribosomal RNA is filed under the name uncultured bacterium. RNAcentral describes it as "partial 16S ribosomal RNA". It matches the Rfam family "Bacterial small subunit ribosomal RNA", at positions 524 to 776 of the family's 1533-position model. The record is from RNAcentral.